Molecule: ribosomal RNA, 465 nt
Filed under: uncultured bacterium
Lineage: Bacteria
Description: partial 16S ribosomal RNA
Rfam family: Bacterial small subunit ribosomal RNA
Source: RNAcentral
CUACGGGUUGCUCCAGUGAGGAAUAUUGCACAAUGGGGGGAACCCUGACGCAGCAACGCUGCGUGAGUGAUGAAGGCUUUCGGGUCGUAAAGCUCUGUCAAGUGGGAAGAACCUAUGCAGUGUUAAUAUCACUGUAUACUGACGGUACCACUGAAGGAAGCACCGGCUAACUCCGUGCCAGCAGCCGCGGUAAUACGGGGGGUGCAAGCGUUAUUCGGAAUCAUUGGGCGUAAAGGGCACGUAGGCGGCUUGGUAAGUCAGAUGUGAAAGCCCGGGGCUUAACCCCGGAAGUGCAUUUGAUACUGUCAGGCUUGAGUAUGGGAGAGGGAAGUGGAAUUCCUGGUGUAGAGGUGAAAUUCGUAGAUAUCAGGAGGAACACCGGUGGCGAAGGCGACUUCCUGGACCAAUACUGACGCUGAGGUGCGAAGGCGUGGGUAGCAAACAGGAUUAGAUACCCUCGUAGUC